This 307-nucleotide ribosomal RNA is filed under the name uncultured bacterium. RNAcentral describes it as "partial 16S ribosomal RNA". It matches the Rfam family "Bacterial small subunit ribosomal RNA", at positions 506 to 807 of the family's 1533-position model. The record is from RNAcentral.
AGACAGCAGUCGCCGCGGGAAUACGGAGGGUGCAAGCGUUAAUCGGAAUUACUGGGCGUAAAGCGUGCGUAGGCGGUUUGUUAAGUCUGUUGUGAAAUCCCCGGGCUCAACCUGGGAAUGGCAAUGGAUACUGGCUCGCUAGAGUGUGUCAGAGGAUGGUGGAAUUCCCGGUGUAGCGGUGAAAUGCGUAGAGAUCGGGAGGAACAUCAGUGGCGAAGGCGGCCAUCUGGGACAACACUGACGCUGAGGCACGAAAGCGUGGGGAGCAAACAGGAUUAGAUACCCCAGUAGUCCCUGUCUCUUAUAC